Molecule: ribosomal RNA, 253 nt
Filed under: uncultured bacterium
Lineage: Bacteria
Description: partial 16S ribosomal RNA
Rfam family: Bacterial small subunit ribosomal RNA
Source: RNAcentral
UACGGGGGGGGCGAGCGUUGUUCGGAAUUACUGGGCGUAAAGGGUUUGUAGGUGGCCUGCUAAGUCAGACGUGAAAUCCCUCAGCUUAACUGGGGAACUGCGUCUGAUACUGGCGGGCUUGAGGACAGGAGAGGAACGCGGAAUUCCAGGUGUAGCGGUGAAAUGCGUAGAUAUCUGGAGGAACACCGGUGGCGAAGGCGGCGUUCUGGACUGGUUCUGACACUGAAAAACGAAAGCCAGGGGAGCAAACGGG